Molecule: ribosomal RNA, 414 nt
Filed under: uncultured microorganism
Description: bacterial SSU rRNA
Rfam family: Archaeal small subunit ribosomal RNA
Source: RNAcentral
CAGCAGCCGCGGUAAUACCGGCGGCCCGAGUGGCGGUCACUAUUAUUGGGCUUAAAGCGUCCGUAGCCGGGGUGGGAAGUCCUCCGGGAAAUCUGGCCGCUUAACGGUCAGAAUGCCGGAGGAUACUCCCAGCCUAGGGAGCGGGAGAGGCCGAGGGGAUUCCCGGAGUAGGGGGGAAAUCCUAUAAUCCCGGGAGGACGACCUGUGGCGAAGGCGCUCGGCUGGAACGCGUCCGACGGGGAGGGACGAAGGCCAGGGGAGCAAACCGGAUUAGAUACCCGGGUAGUCCUGGCUGUAAACGAUGCGGACUUUGUGUCGGACAAGCUAUGAGCUUGUCCGGUGCCGGAGGGAAACCGUUAAGUCCGCCGCCUGGGGAGUACGGCCGCAAGGCUGAAACUUAAAGGAAUUGGCGGG